RNAcentral lists this ribosomal RNA (318 nucleotides) under Diesbachia hellotis. RNAcentral describes it as "partial small subunit ribosomal RNA". Lineage: Eukaryota; Metazoa; Arthropoda; Insecta; Phasmatodea; Lonchodidae. The record is from RNAcentral.
CGGUGUUUUAGUCUAUUUAGAGGAAUUUGCCCCGUUAUCGAUAGUCCUCGUUUUAUCUAACUUGAUUAUAGUAUUGGUCUGUAUAUCGCUGUUAUAAGGUUUAUUUUAUAAGAAUAUAAAUUUACUUUAAUUAUUAUUUUAAUUUAUUUCAAGUCAAGGUGCAGCUUAUGAUUAAGUGGAGGUGAAUUACAAUAUUAUUUGAAUAUAAUGGCGUUGAUUUAAUUGAAAUUUUCAAUAAAAGUGGAUUUAAUUGUAAUUUUAACUAUAAUAUUGUUUUGAUUUUGGCUCUAAAAUGAGUACACAUCGCCCGUCGCUCUA